RNAcentral lists this ribosomal RNA (429 nucleotides) under Chloroflexota bacterium. RNAcentral's name for it is "Chloroflexi bacterium partial 16S ribosomal RNA". It matches the Rfam family "Bacterial small subunit ribosomal RNA", at positions 355 to 776 of the family's 1533-position model. The record is from RNAcentral. Lineage: Bacteria; Bacillati; Chloroflexota.
UGGGGAAUAUUGCACAAUGGGCGCAAGCCUGAUGCAGCCAUGCCGCGUGUAUGAAGAAGGCCUUCGGGUUGUAAAGUACUUUCAGCGGGGAGGAAGGGAGUAAAGUUAAUACCUUUGCUCAUUGACGUUACCCGCAGAAGAAGCACCGGCUAACUCCGUGCCAGCAGCCGCGGUAAUACGGAGGGUGCAAGCGUUAAUCGGAAUUACUGGGCGUAAAACGCACGCAGGCGGUUUGUUAAGUCAGAUGUGAAAUCCCCGGGCUCAACCUGGGAACUGCAUCGGAUACUGGCAAGCUUGAGUCGCGUAGAGGGGGGUAGAAUUCCAGGUGGAGCGGUGAAAUGCGUAGAGAUCUGGAGGAAUACCGGUGGCGAAGGCGGCCCCCUGGACGAAGACUGACGCUCAGGUGCGAAAGCGUGGGGAGCAAACAGG